Molecule: ribosomal RNA, 738 nt
Filed under: Emiliania huxleyi
Lineage: Eukaryota; Haptophyta; Isochrysidales; Noelaerhabdaceae
Description: partial Bacterial large subunit ribosomal RNA
Rfam family: Bacterial large subunit ribosomal RNA
Source: RNAcentral
AAAGCGAAUUGAAACAUCUUAGUAGCUUGGAAAAAAAUCAAAAGAGAGUUCGAAAGUAAUGGCGAAUGAAAUCGAAUCAGUUUAAGGUUAAUAAUUUUAAAAUAAUGAAAUGUUGAUCAUUUGAAACAAAGUAAAUAAUUAAGGCUUGUAAUUGCAAAAUUAUUUUCCGUUGAUCGAAGCGUAAGAAACUAUGUUUCGUUGUAGAAUUAACUACUUAACAAAAAAUCUAAAUUUUUAUAGUGUAAAGUACCGUGAGGGAAAGUAAUUAACUUUGGGUAGCCUUUAAUUUAUUAGCUUAUUAACAAUUUUUUUAAUAAAAAUGUGUACCUUUUGCAUUAUGGUUCAGGGAGUUAAAUUUAAUAGCAAGCUUAAGUAAAAUUAUAAAGCGUAAAAAAAUUGUUUUGGUAGUUAUUAAAUUUAGACACGAAACCGCUGUGAUCUAAUCAAAUUCAGGUUGAAAAUUUAGUAAAAAUAAAUGGGAAGACCGAAGUAGUGUUUGUUGCAAAAAACUUAUGUGAAAUUUGAUUUGGAGUGAAAGGCUAAUCAAACGCGGCGAUUGCUUGUUUUCUGCGAAAUUUUUUUUAGAAAAGCGUUUAAAAAUUAAAUUUAUAAGGUAAAGCACUGGUUUUUUUGAGGUUGAUUAAUUUCAUUACAAGAUUUUUCCAAACUCUGAAUUUAUAAAUAAUAUUUUAAACAGUGAGAUUGUUAGCGAGAAAGUUGAUAAUCAAGAGAGAAACA